RNAcentral lists this ribosomal RNA (216 nucleotides) under Escherichia coli O55:H7 str. 3256-97. RNAcentral describes it as "partial 23S ribosomal RNA". It matches the Rfam family "Bacterial large subunit ribosomal RNA", at positions 2717 to 2925 of the family's 2925-position model. Lineage: Bacteria; Pseudomonadati; Pseudomonadota; Gammaproteobacteria; Enterobacterales; Enterobacteriaceae. The record is from RNAcentral.
CGGGUUGUCAUGCCAAUGGCACGUCCCGGUAGCUAAAUGCGGAAGAGAUAAGUGCUGAAAGCAUCUAAGCACGAAACUUGCCCCGAGAUGAGUUCUCCCUGACCCUUUAAGGGUCCUGAAGGAACGUUGAAGACGACGACGUUGAUAGGCCGGGUGUGUAAGCGCAGCGAUGCGUUGAGCUAACCGGUACUAAUGAACCGUGAGGCUUAACCUUAC